AUUCAUGUCUAAACAAGUUUCAUUUGACAUUUCAAACAUCAAGAAUGAAGAAAAUAAAGUCAGAUGGAAACUUUCCAAAAAUAGAAAGUGACCUGUAAUUCAAAACUGCCAAAAAUGGAAAGUUUUUCACCUCAAAAUUACAUGUCCAAAAAUGCUUCAAAUGAAAUUUUGUUCAACAUGAAAGUUGUAGAUCUUGCUCUCACCUUUCCAAAAAGUCCAAGAACAUGAAUUUCUCAUGUGUGGUUGGCAAGUUAUGGAUUGAUC
Molecule: long non-coding RNA, 264 nt
Filed under: Lathyrus oleraceus (garden pea)
Lineage: Eukaryota; Viridiplantae; Streptophyta; Magnoliopsida; Fabales; Fabaceae
Description: Pisum sativum (pea) long non-coding RNA (PSAT_LNC002309)
Source: RNAcentral